GUGCUCGCUUUGGCAGCACAUAUACUACAAUUGAAAUGAUACAGAGAAGACUAGCAUGGCUCCUGCGCAAGGAUGACAUGCAAAUCCGUGUAAAGUUCCAUAUUUUU
Octodon degus (degu) is the source of this 107-nucleotide small nuclear RNA. The record is from Ensembl. Lineage: Eukaryota; Metazoa; Chordata; Mammalia; Rodentia; Octodontidae.